Molecule: unclassified non-coding RNA, 2490 nt
Filed under: Actinia tenebrosa (Australian red waratah sea anemone)
Lineage: Eukaryota; Metazoa; Cnidaria; Anthozoa; Actiniaria; Actiniidae
Description: arf-GAP with coiled-coil, ANK repeat and PH domain- containing protein 3-like, transcript variant X1
Source: RNAcentral
CAGUCCUCAUCCUCAUACUUGAUCAUAGCCAGAUCUGUGGAAGGAAAACGUCAACAAAUGUGAGAAAAAAACUUUUUUCACCAAGAUUUUCCGAUUCGNUUUUUCUAAGAAAUCUCACACUACUAGCCCUAUUCUUAACCAUUCAGAUAAAUUCCAGUUAUGCUCUAAAAUACCAAGACAACUAUUUGAAAAUGACAUUUUACGAGAGCGAGAUGGUUGUUCCUGGCCUCCCAAGAUACGAAGAUGUCUUGAUCGACAGCCCAUCUUGUCAUCAAUCCUUAAAAUUCUGGAGCCAAAAAGCCGAUCAGAUUGCACCAGUAUUAUCAGAGUUAGCCAGCAAUGUAGAGAAAUACCAUGGCACUGGUGUGAAGCACCAAAAAUCAGGCCUAAACAUCAGUGAAGCCUUGGGCAAUGUUGUGAAGGUCUUCCAGGAUGACGACAAGAUUUCAGAACCAAUAACAAAGUUUACAGAUGUUUUGCAGAGGAUAGAGUGUUACCGUGAUAUGUUCCUUAACCAGACACAGCUUCUCAUGUGGGAACCUCUAGUAAAGUUAACACAGGAUUAUGACAAAGCUAAAGAACUCAAUACAGAAGUCCUAAAGGCAAGAGAAGCAAUGCACAUAGCAUGGGAAAAGUUCUCAAGCUGUCCUCAUGUUGAAAAUUUACAAGAGGUUGGGCUGCUGGACAAAUUGGCCCACUCACUACUUAAUGCAAGACGGAAUUACCAAAAAGUUCUCUUGCAAUAUGUUACUAUGCUAAAAGAAAUCCAUACACUCAAAAAGGUUGUAAUUUUACAGAAAGUCUUAGAGCACAUGCUGGCACAGUUUUCUUUUUUCAAUUUUGGUUAUCAGACAUUGAAGGAUAUAGAGCCCUACAUGAAUGGAUUGUUCCAAGAGCUUCAAGAAAGCCACACUAAAGUAGAGGAAUCAUUGAAGAAGGAAGUAGAAACACAACAGGAGAUGGAGAAAGAAGCUGUCCUACAGCAGCAAAGGGAUGGACAAGGGUUUGCAGAGCCAAGUUCAGCAGGCAUUGGUCAGUCUGUCGCAUCAAUGAACACACAAGCAGGAAAAAUCUUUAACAAAAUUGGGGAUUUAUUUCAAGCUGGGUCUUUUGGCCUCGCAGGUUCACGAAAAUCAUACAAGGCGCCUUCUAGUCCCUCUGACCAAGAGUGGGAAGUCAUAGAAUCUCAGCGCACUUCAUCCAAAGACAAGCUAUCAAGCGAAGAGCUAUCAAACAAGCCGUCCUCAAGCAGUAGUACUCCAGAAACAAAACCCAAAAGAACUCAUGAUUCAGGUGUAAAACCUUCUCCAAAAAAAGAGCACCAUGCAACAGGAAAAGCCGAAGAGGCUGGCCCCACAACAAAAGAAGCAGGUCAAGUCGUAGCCGUUGUACCUCCAGAAUUGAUAAGUCCUACCACAGGAAAUAAAGAAACACUCUCAGAGAAUUUGCUACCAGCUCCUAUCGCCAGUCUACAGCCACCCACAACACCAUCGUUAAACGCCUAUAAAGGAUGCAAAACAGGAUAUCUCAGAAUACGACAGAAAGCUUUCCCGAAAAACAGAUGGCCUUUACUGUAUUUCAUCGUCGACAAAGAAAAUGGCAACCUACUAGCCCAAGGACAAGAACAAACCCAACCUUCAACUUUAGAGAAUUUACUUCUCUGCACAGUUAAGAUUUGCGAUUCUGAAGACGCGGACAGAAACUUUUGUUUCCAACUGAUUUCGACGACGAGUGAGCGAGUAUUUCAAGCGUUGACUAACCUGGAAGUCCAGGAAUGGAUUACUGCGAUACAGGAAGCAACAGCGGAUGCCCUUAGGAACUCUAAAGCGAAAUUGAAGUCGCUCGCGAGGUCAAACUUAUCUGACGACAUAGGUCAUAAGAGAGAACCCAGAUCUCUCGUUCUAAAUGCAGCUGAAAGAAUACGAAAAGUUGCUGGUAAUAAGUACUGUGCUGAUUGCUCUUCUCCCAGACCUGAUUGGGCAAGCAUUAAUAUCGGCAUAACGAUAUGUAUCGAGUGUUCUGGAGUACACAGGAAUAUGGGUGUCCACGUUUCUAAGGUCCGUUCUCUGACGUUGGAUAAAUGGGAAGAUACCACUGUUGAUUUCAUGGAAGCCAUGGGGAAUACCAAAGCUAACCAGAUAUACGAAGGCAAUUUGAGAGAAUAUCCCAAACCAACUAGAGAUUCUUCCAAGGACGAUAGACAGAAGUUCAUUAAACUCAAAUAUGUAGAGCAGAGAUUUUAUAAAGCAUUACCAUCUGAGGAUCUGGACCCAGAAAUAGCAAAAGUCUUGGCAAGUAGACCUGGGGAAAGUGAAGAAGACCUGUUUGAUGUUUCAGAGGAGGUAGGUGCAGAUAUUUGAUGACGAAAGAGAACUAAUGGGUUCCAGUCCACUGUGUCUUAUACAAGAUUGUCAGGAAUGUCCUAAAGGAUCUUGCUCAGAAAAAAGUCACCAUAGUCCACAGCUUGUUAUGAGUGACUCAGGAGAGGAU